RNAcentral lists this ribosomal RNA (410 nucleotides) under Staphylococcus simulans. RNAcentral describes it as "bacterial SSU rRNA". It matches the Rfam family "Bacterial small subunit ribosomal RNA", at positions 111 to 508 of the family's 1533-position model. The record is from RNAcentral. Lineage: Bacteria; Bacillati; Bacillota; Bacilli; Caryophanales; Staphylococcaceae.
UAACACGUGGGUAACCUACCUAUAAGACUGGGAUAACUCCGGGAAACCGGGGCUAAUACCGGAUAACACAUGAAACCGCAUGGUUUCAUGAUGAAAGACGGUUUUGCUGUCACUUAUAGAUGGACCCGCGGCGUAUUAGCUAGUUGGUAAGGUAACGGCUUACCAAGGCAACGAUACGUAGCCGACCUGAGAGGGUGAUCGGCCACACUGGAACUGAGACACGGUCCAGACUCCUACGGGAGGCAGCAGUAGGGAAUCUUCCGCAAUGGGCGAAAGCCUGACGGAGCAACGCCGCGUGAGUGAUGAAGGUCUUCGGAUCGUAAAACUCUGUUAUUAGGGAAGAACAAGGAUGUAAGUAACUAUGCAUCCCUUGACGGUACCUAAUCAGAAAGCCACGGCUAACUACGUGC